UAAUAAAACCCGCAAAGAGGAUAUGCGCUAACAUAUCCUCUUCGACAGAGCCGUUUAAGACGGUAACUAGUUUAUUUUAAGAGUAACUA
RNAcentral lists this small RNA (89 nucleotides) under Candidatus Enterococcus dunnyi. RNAcentral's name for it is "Enterococcus sp. 9D6_DIV0238 RNA anti-toxin A". It matches the Rfam family "RNA anti-toxin A". The record is from Rfam by way of RNAcentral. Lineage: Bacteria; Bacillati; Bacillota; Bacilli; Lactobacillales; Enterococcaceae.